Long non-coding RNA from Equus caballus (horse), 2136 nucleotides. The record is from Ensembl. Lineage: Eukaryota; Metazoa; Chordata; Mammalia; Perissodactyla; Equidae.
AAAUAUAAUAAUCUUAGAGUAUUUACUUAUGCUUUCGUGAGUGAAUAUAUUUCAUAAGCGUAAGAAUUCAAUAUACUCUUUGAUAGUGUACUUUUCCAUAUGGAUGCCAGAUUUUAUUUCUGAUGCUGUAUAAUUAACCUGCUUGCUAAACCAAAUACAGUAAAGUUACUUUCAACAAACAUGCUAUUAGGGUCAAAGUAUUGCAAAGAAGAAAAUAAGCAAUGUUCCUGAGAUUGGUAGAUGUCAACAAUGCAAAUUUGAAACAUAGAUGUGCCAUUUUUAGUCAUUAUCUAAAUUCAAGCAGAAUUUAUUGAAUGGUGUAUAGAGACCUAUACUAAUGUGCUGACAUUUAUCAGCAAUUUAAAACAUUGCAUGAAAAAAUAAGAAUAUUUCAGAACUAAUGAAACUGUCAUUCUUUUUUUGAAAUUCAGGGAUGCAGACACCCUAAAAUGUGAUACGUAUUACAAAAUCCUAAAGUAGACAAGCUGUUUGAUCUUUAGACACAAAAUUUGAUCUGAAAGCAUUUAAGUGUCUCUAGAAUUAGUUAUCAAUAAAACAAUGAAAACAUUAAGAACUGCGUUACACAACUGACAUGAAUUUAAAAACGUGAUUUACUUGAAGGCUAAUGCUUCAGUGAGAUUUACAAAGAAAGCAUGGAAGUUGAGACUUAAAAUUUACCCAAAUUGUGAUGACUUGAACACAUUUAUGAAAACUUUUGCUUAGGUACCAUAUAAAUAAAUAGUGUGUCUACAAGUAUAAUGUUUACAUUAAGAGACAUAAAAUACAUUCUUUUGUUACAAGAGAAAAAACUUGACAGUUUAAUAUAGUGGUGGUGUGGAGUUGACAGAUUCAAGAUGCAGCUAGGCCUCCUCAUUUUUUAAAACUUUUUCUUUUGUUUAAAGAAAAAAAAUAGGAGACUUUGCCUGUCAACUAUCUGUGUUAACUUGACCUGCAUCAUUGUUUAGCCCUGAAGUACCCCAUCUAGGGUAUCCACUGAACAAAUACGGGCUUCAUAUCUUAAUGAUAUCUUUCAUGAAGUCUUGUUUGUGAGUCACCUUGCUAAUUAGCAAGGCGAUGUUGGAACCUGUGGCCACGUCAUCUAAUACUAGAUGAGGGAGGUAAUCCUGAAGGCAGGUGAAAUAUAAGAGAAACUUCAUCUGAACUGUGUUGCAGCACAGAGGGGUCAACCUGGUAAAGCUAUUUUCUCCCAGCCAUUAGUCUCCAAAUCCCAGCUGAAGCACGACAGGUUGAACUGGAGAAGAGAUUAUGGCAUAAAGAUUAGUUUGAAGAUAAUUGUGAGGACACUGCCCAGUGCUAUGACUCCAGCUGAGUAAAGAUAAAAGUGGUCAACACUCAGAGAGAAAGGAGGGAGGGAGAGCAAAGAGGUCAAGGGAUGGAAGGAAGCAGAGUGAAUGCCACCAUGUGCCAGUGAUGAGAAUGUGAAUACUAAUAGAGGGCAAUAAAUCAAAAUCCAAGAAGAACCAAACAAAUGUAACAUCUUGACUCAUAGUAAUGGGACAUUUUACUCUUCUUUGUGAAGCCUGGGCUCGUACAAGCACAGAGAAUACUUUUUCCCAGAAUAAAAGUAUUUUUCACCCUAUCUUCCAUUCUCCUUAUGUCUUCUGCCUAGAUGGCCCUUCAUUUUACUUCACCUGGGAAAAUCUGACUUAUAUUUCAAUUCACAGCCUGUAUUGUUUUCUGAACAUUUCCGUGAUCCCUUUCCACAAUUUAAAUACUUCCUACUCUCUGAUCCCAUAGCACUUUUAUUAUGAGCUUGCAUUUGGCAGUUGUCACAUUGUAACCUGGUUCUUUCCAACAAUGACUUAUGUAUAUUGGUAUUUCCUAUACCAGGUGUCAUGUGAAGCACUGAGGGCAGAGAUGAAUUAGAUCCUGUCCUCAAGGAGCUCACAGUCUAGAAAGGGAGAUGGGAAUGUAAACAAAGAAAUUAUACUUCGUGAUAAGUGUGGCAAUAAAAUGUAUAUAGAAAGCACAAAUUUAGUACAGACAAGGUGGUUAGCCUAACCUAGGGAUGCGAGGAUCAAGAAAGACUUGCCAGAGAAGAUGAUGUAAGGCCAUUUUGUUUUCUUUAUUUCAUUGUGAACUCUUGAGGAUAGGGGUUAUGUCUCACUCAUCUGA